UGGGGAAUAUUGCACAAUGGGCGCAAGCCUGAUGCAGCCAUGCCGCGUGUGUGAAGAAGCCUCGGUUGUAAAGCAACUUUCAGCGAGGAGGAAGGUGGGUGAGCUUAAUACGCUCAUCAAUUGACGUUACUCGCAGAAGAAGCACCGGCUAACUCCGUGCCAGCAGCCGCGGUAAUACGGAGGGUGCAAGCGUUAAUCGGAAUUACUGGGCGUAAAGCGCACGCAGGCGGUUUGUUAAGUCAGAUGUGAAAUCCCCGGGGCUCAACCUGGGAACUGCAUUUGAAACUGGCAAGCUAGAGUCUCGUAGAGGGGGGUAGAAUUCCAGGUGUAGCGGUGAAAUGCGUAGAGAUCUGGAGGAAUACCGGUGGCGAAGGCGGCCCCCUGGACGAAGACUGACGCUCAGGUGCG
RNAcentral lists this ribosomal RNA (408 nucleotides) under uncultured bacterium. Its description in RNAcentral is "partial 16S ribosomal RNA". It matches the Rfam family "Bacterial small subunit ribosomal RNA", at positions 355 to 755 of the family's 1533-position model. The record is from RNAcentral.